GACGAACGCUGGCGGCGUGCUUAACACAUGCAAGUCGAACGAUGAACCCGGAGCUUGCUCCGGUGGAUUAGUGGCGAACGGGUGAGUAACACGUGAGUAACCUGCCCUUGACUCUGGGAUAACUGCGGGAAACUGUAGCUAAUACCGGAUACGACCCUCGGCGGCAUCGCCAGGGGGUGGAAAGAAUUUCGGUCAAGGAUGGACUGGCGGCCUAUCAGCUAGUUGGGGAGGUAACGGCUCAACAAGGCGACGACGGGUAGCCGGCCUGAGAGGGUGACCGGCGACACUGGGACUGAGACACGGCCCAGACUGCUACGGGAGGCAGAAGUGGGGAAUAUUGCACAAUGGGCGCAAGCCUGAUGCAGCAAGGCCGCGUGAGGGAUGACGGCCUUCGGGUUGUAAACCUCUUUUAGUAGGGAAGAAGCGAAAGUGACGGUACCUGCAGAAAAAGCACCGGCUAACUACGUGCCAGCCGCCGCGGUAA
RNAcentral lists this ribosomal RNA (484 nucleotides) under uncultured bacterium. RNAcentral describes it as "partial 16S ribosomal RNA". It matches the Rfam family "Bacterial small subunit ribosomal RNA", at positions 28 to 523 of the family's 1533-position model. The record is from RNAcentral.